RNAcentral lists this ribosomal RNA (253 nucleotides) under uncultured bacterium. RNAcentral describes it as "partial 16S ribosomal RNA". It matches the Rfam family "Bacterial small subunit ribosomal RNA", at positions 524 to 776 of the family's 1533-position model. The record is from RNAcentral.
UACGAAGGGGGCCAGCGUUGCUCGGAAUCACUGGGCGUAAAGCGCACGUAGGCGGCUUGCUAAGUCAGGGGUGAAAUCCUGGAGCUCAACUCCAGAACUGCCCUUGAUACUGAGGAUCUUGAGUUCGGGAGAGGUGAGUGGAACUGCGAGUGUAGAGGUGAAAUUCGUAGAUAUUCGCAAGAACACCAGUGGCGAAGGCGGCUCACUGGCCCGAUACUGACGCUGAGGCACGAAAGCGUGGGGAGCAAACAGG